CAGCCGCCGCGGUAAUACCGGCGGCCCGAGUGGCGGCUACUAUUAUUGGGCCUAAAGCGUCCGUAGCCGGGCUGGGAAGUCCUCCGGGAAAUCUGGUCGCUUAAAGAUCAGACUUCCGGAGGAUACUGCUGGCCUAGGGACCGGGGGAGGCCGAGGGUAUUCCCGGGGUAGGGGUGAAAUCCUGUAAUCCCGGGAGGACCACCUGUGGCGAAGGCGCUCGGCUGGAACGGGUCCGACGGUGAGGGACGAAGGCCAGGGGAGCGAACCGGAUUAGAUACCCGGGUAGUCCUGGCUGUAAACGAUGCGGACUUUGUGUCGGACAAGCUAUGAGCUUGUCCGGUGCCGGAGGGAAACCGUUAAGUCCGCCGCCUGGGGAGUACGGCCGCAAGGCUGAAACUUAAAGGAAUUGGCGGG
RNAcentral lists this ribosomal RNA (414 nucleotides) under uncultured microorganism. RNAcentral describes it as "bacterial SSU rRNA". It matches the Rfam family "Archaeal small subunit ribosomal RNA", at positions 459 to 872 of the family's 1478-position model. The record is from RNAcentral.